CUCCCUCAGCCACUCAUCACAGGUCUUGUGCUCCAGACCCUUCUCCAGCACCGUUGCCCUCUCUGAACUCAUUCCAGCCCCUCAAUGUCCUUCCUGUCGUGACGGGCCCAGAACUGGACACAGGACUCGAGGUGCAGCAUCACCAGUAUGGGGGGACAAUCACUGCCUGAGUCCCGCUGGCCACGCUAUUGCUGAUCCAGGCCAGGAUGCCGCUGGCCUUCGUGGCUCCCUGGGCAUUUUCAGGGCACGUCCCAGCCACUGCUCCCUCCUGCAGCGGAGUGCCCACUUCCCGGUGGGAGCACCGAUGGUGUCUGUGGUCACGCUCCAGUGUUGCAUAGGAACAGUGCAGAGGAAAUCUCUACAUCAAAAUUUUGCCUACACUCCUCAGAAUCCACCCGCUGCCUCUGCCACUGCUUGGGGGAUCUCUGCUUGGAAUAGCCAGAGCCUUUGAGACCACCCAGCUCAGGCAAGGCUUUAAACCAUCUCAUUGAAUGAAAUAUGCUCAAGAAACGAAGAGUAGCAGACAAUGGAAAAGUGCACAGGUUGCAGACAAUACUGAAAAAUUGGACCAGAGGAAAUCUGAGGAUUCAAAACCCAGAGAAGAAAUAAAAAUAAUCUAUAUGGAUUCUUC
Long non-coding RNA from Cinclus cinclus, 631 nucleotides. RefSeq lists it as uncharacterized. The record is from RefSeq and is a predicted model, not a curated record. The transcript has 4 exons. Lineage: Eukaryota; Metazoa; Chordata; Aves; Passeriformes; Cinclidae.